Molecule: ribosomal RNA, 500 nt
Filed under: uncultured bacterium
Lineage: Bacteria
Description: bacterial SSU rRNA
Rfam family: Bacterial small subunit ribosomal RNA
Source: RNAcentral
ACUCAAAUGAAUAGACGGGGACCCGCACAAGCAGCGGAGCAUGUGGUUUAAUUCGAAGCAACGCGAAGAACCUUACCAAGGCUUGACAUCCCCUUGACAGGUACAGAGAUGUACAAUCAUUUUCGAAUGCAAGGGAGACAGGUGGUGCAUGGUUGUCGUCAGCUCGUGUCGUGAGAUGUUGGGUUAAGUCCCGCAACGAGCGCAACCCUUAUCCUUAGUUGCCAGCACAUAUGGUGGGCACUCUAAGGAGACUGCCGGUGAUAAACCGGAGGAAGGUGGGGAUGACGUCAAAUCAUCAUGCCCCUUAUGUCUUGGGCUACACACGUGCUACAAUGGUCGGUACAACGGGAAGCGAAGAAGUGAUUUGGAGCAAAUCCCAAUAAACCGAUCCCAGUUCGGAUUGCAGGCUGCAACUCGCCUGCAUGAAGUCGGAGUUGCUAGUAAUCGCGAAUCAGAACGUCGCGGUGAAUGCGUUCCCGGGUCUUGCACACACCGCCCGU